RNAcentral lists this ribosomal RNA (460 nucleotides) under uncultured bacterium. RNAcentral describes it as "partial 16S ribosomal RNA". It matches the Rfam family "Bacterial small subunit ribosomal RNA", at positions 338 to 795 of the family's 1533-position model. The record is from RNAcentral.
CCUACGGGAGGCAGCAGUGAGGAAUAUUGGUCAAUGGACGGAAGUCUGAACCAGCCAUGCCGCGUGCAGGAAGACGGCUCUAUGAGUUGUAAACUGCUUUUGUACAAGGGUAAACCUGAAUACGUGUAUUCUGCUGAAAGUACUGUACGAAUAAGGAUCGGCUAACUCCGUGCCAGCAGCCGCGGUAAUACGGAGGAUCCAAGCGUUAUCCGGAUUUAUUGGGUUUAAAGGGUGCGUAGGCGGAUUGAUAAGUUAGAGGUGAAAUGUCCGAGCUUAACUCGGGAACUGCCUCUAAUACUGUUGAUCUAGAGAUUAGAUGCGGUAGGCGGAAUGUAUGGUGUAGCGGUGAAAUGCUUAGAGAUCAUACAGAACACCGAUUGCGAAGGCAGCUUACCAAUCUAUAUCUGACGUUGAGGCACGAAAGCGUGGGGAGCAAACAGGAUUAGAUACCCGAGUAGUC